Molecule: long non-coding RNA, 859 nt
Organism: Nematostella vectensis (starlet sea anemone)
Lineage: Eukaryota; Metazoa; Cnidaria; Anthozoa; Actiniaria; Edwardsiidae
Exons: 3
Source: RefSeq, a predicted model, not a curated record
CCUUUGUUAGCGAGCCAAUCGGAAUUGUUUAUUCAUUCAAUAAUUAUUAUUUCGCCUUGUCGGUGAUGAUAAUUCUCACAGUUGGCCUGUUUCUUAUGGCGAACUACAGACUACAUAGUCUUCAGGAAGAUCGGACAAGUCGAUUAGGGUUUGUGUUAGUGAAUGCAGCCUUUAGUGUGUGCGUCGAAUCCUCACAUUUAUAGCCGUGGAUGUUAGAAGGGGAAUCUAAGGACACCUAAUACAUCAAUAUGCUGAGUGGGAAUAGCUCAUCCGCGGUCAGUUGGUGCAACAGCAGUAUCCACGCAUGCGUCGAUCUUGAGCGCUUCCGCCGUGAGUUCGUGUAUAGCACAACCGCCACUGUUAUCGUCAUACUUGUGUUGACUCUCUGGCUUUUUAUCUUCCUCGUGGCGCUUAAAAACAUGGACAGAGCAAGCAAGCAGAAAGAAAAGAAAGCUGCUGAAGAAUUGCAAACACAAAAGAAGGGGGACAAGGUCAAGAUGGCGCAUAUUUAGUACAAACGAAUUUUCUGUGUUUUGCUAAUAUAGGGACGUAUCCCUAAAGUCCGCCGCACACGGCGAGAAAAAUUUCGUGCUUGCGCUUCUCUCCUGUUUACUAUCGAAUCCGUUGUAUCACGAUGCCGCAUCUUCAAAACAUCUAUUUGUUUUUGUCUUUUGGGAUUUUCUGUUCCGCCAGUCAAAUUAUUAUAAGCCAAUCAGAUUCUUGCCAUCUCUCGCCUAGUGCAGUUGCCCGGCUUUCUGUCGCGACACUGUUUGGUUUUCGUCCAGAGGAUAGCCAGGGAAGUGCACAAAGCGAGUUAUAGGGACGUAUGCCUAAAGUCCGCCGCACACGGCGAGAAAAA